RNAcentral lists this ribosomal RNA (442 nucleotides) under uncultured bacterium. RNAcentral's name for it is "bacterial SSU rRNA". It matches the Rfam family "Bacterial small subunit ribosomal RNA", at positions 57 to 510 of the family's 1533-position model. The record is from RNAcentral.
GCAGUCGAACGAGAACGGAUUAUAGCUUGCUAUAAUUGUCAGCUAAGUGGCGCACGGGUGAGUAAUGUAUAGAUAACCUGCCCUUAAGAAAGGAAUAACAGUUGGAAACGACUGCUAAUGCCCUAUAUGCCUUUAAUACAUAAGUAUGCAAGGGAAACGCUUUAGUGCUUAAGGAUGGGUCUGUAUGGUAUCAGCUUGUUGGUGAGGUAAUGGCUCACCAAGGCUAUGACGCCUAACUGGUUUGAGAGGAUGAUCAGUCACACUGGAACUGAGACACGGUCCAGACUCCUACGGGAGGCAGCAGUGGGGAAUAUUGCACAAUGGACGAAAGUCUGAUGCAGCAACGCCGCGUGGAGGAUGACACAUUUCGGUGCGUAAACUCCUUUUAUAUAGGAAGAUAAUGACGGUACUAUAUGAAUAAGCACCGGCUAACUCCGUGCCA